CACAUUCACUCUAUUACCAUAGAACCCAUAAGUUAAAUCUCUUCCCUCUCUAAGCCUUGAAUAGUAACUUACAGUAGGGCUCGAUUCAAUUCCUAUCGUGGAAGUUUGGCGCUAUAGCGGGAUUGAAAUUUGAAGGCAAUGUUCCCGCGUUCGUGGAGACUGCAUUCAUGGUAAACACUGCCAAUGUCGGCUCAAUAGGAAAUUACAUUUAAAUUUCAAUGCCGCUAUAGAGCUGAAUUUCCAUCAUAUGGAUUUCAUCAAGCCCUUAGUGCCAAUUCACACGGUGCAUUGGACAUGUUAGCUCAGUUUUCUGUCAAUCAAUAAAAGUAUUAUACGAUUUCUGACUGUAUUUCACAAUGCAUUAUAAUGUCAGUUAAGUUUCCUUCUGUUAUACACGUCGCAUACUGCAUGUUGCUAUUCUGUUUAGAUCAAUAGAUAGACUGCUUUAUUAAUCCGAUAGAUAGGCUACUUUAUUAAUCCAAUAGAUAGGCUACUUUAUUAAUCUGAUAGAUAGGCUACUUUGUUAAUCUGAUAGAUAUGAUACUUUAUUAAUCUGAUAGAUAGGCUACUUUAUUAAUUUGAUAGAUAGACUACUUUAUUAAUCCAACAGAUAGGCUACUUUAUUAAUCUGAUAGAUAGGAUACUUUAUUAAUCUGAUGGAUAGGAUACUUUAUUAAUCUGAUAGAUAGGCUAAUUUAUUAAUCUGAUAGAUAGGCUACUUUAUUAAUCCAACAGAUAGGCUACUUUAUUAAUCCGAUAGAUAGGCUGACAGCCAAUCAAAACAAGUGAAAUUAAGUUAGUAGGGUUACGGUUAGGGUUAGGGAAGGUAAGUAGUGUUAGGGUUAGGGAAGGUAAGUAGAGCUAGGGUUAGGGUUAGUUAAGGUAAGGUAAGUAGGGUUAGGGUUAGGUUUAGGGAAGGUAAGUAGGGUUAGGGUUGUGGGGAAUGGAGGGAGGGAAGAUUGGGAGAGAGGGUGGGAGGAGAGGGAGAGACAGAGGGAGAGAGGAAUCACAGCAGCAAGAUUUGUGACCUGUUGCUACAAGAAAAGAGCAACCAGUGAAGAACAAACACCAUUGUAAACGCAACCCAUAUUUAUGUUUAUUUAUUUUCCCUUUUGUACUU
Molecule: long non-coding RNA, 1120 nt
Filed under: Salmo salar (Atlantic salmon)
Lineage: Eukaryota; Metazoa; Chordata; Actinopteri; Salmoniformes; Salmonidae
Description: lncRNA (ENSSSAG00000091424.1)
Source: RNAcentral